Molecule: ribosomal RNA, 261 nt
Filed under: uncultured bacterium
Lineage: Bacteria
Description: partial 16S ribosomal RNA
Rfam family: Bacterial small subunit ribosomal RNA
Source: RNAcentral
UACGUAGGGUGCAAGCGUUGUCCGGAAUUAUUGGGCGUAAAGAGCUCGUAGGCGGUUUGUUGCGUCGGCUGUGAAAUCCCGAGGCUCAACCUCGGGUCUGCAGUCGAUACGAGCAAACUAGAGUGUUGCAGGGGAGGCUGGAAUUCCUGGUGUAGGCGGUGAAAUGCGCAGAUAUCAGGAGGAACACCGGUGGCGAAGGCGGGUCUCUGGGCAACAACUGACGCUGAGGCACGAAAGCGUGGGGAGCAAACAGGAUUAGAU